Molecule: long non-coding RNA, 767 nt
Filed under: Elaeis guineensis (African oil palm)
Lineage: Eukaryota; Viridiplantae; Streptophyta; Magnoliopsida; Arecales; Arecaceae
Description: long non-coding RNA (EGUI_LNC044700)
Source: RNAcentral
GCCACAUGGCCCUUUUGGAUGUUGGAAUGAUAGAGUCCAAUGGGGAUUGAACUCUACCCAAGGUUUGGCGCAUAAUAUGAUAGACGCUCACUUAUUUUGGCAUGGAUGAUUUUAUAGAGUCCUUGUCUAAUGGGUUUGAGACUUGUGUGGCAGCUUUUCAAACCCUCCAUCAGCCUAUCAUAAGUUUUAAGGCAUUUGAUGGAAUGAUAAGGCAUGGAAGAAGGGAGAAGAUAGACGCACAUGUGUGAAGACUUCCCAAAGAGGUGCUUGAUGUUUUUCUAUUUUAAUGCAGAAAUGAGAGGCUUCUUAAGGGGUUUCUCUUAGUGAUUUAAAUUAGAAACAACCCUCCAAUCAUGUGGCAAAAUAUUGAAAUUUUUUAAUUUAAGUUGGGAUGCCAAAAGGUUUCUUCCAUGGGCAUGCAUGUGAGAAGGCUGUGAAACAGUAUUUCAUUCCUAAUAGUUCUUAUCAUGUAAGACUCUUGGUUUUGAUAAACCUUUUCAUGUGGUGCCUACAAGUCAUCACGAGAUGCUUUUCAUACCCCAUUUACAACUAUAAAUAGGGGGUGGCACAGAGAGGAGAGAUCAUUCAAUUCUUACAUGCUCUCUUAUCUUGCUUAAGACAAGAAUCCUCUCCUUCUCUCUCUUACACCCCUAGUUCUCUUAGGAUAAGCCUAUCCAGCCUAUUCUCAGCCUAAAUAGGCUUAGGAUAAGGCUCUAGAGGGUCCUAAGAGGUCUAACCAAAUUACCAAAAAGUCAAGAAGUGGUCCA